Molecule: non-coding RNA, 23 nt
Filed under: Arabidopsis thaliana (thale cress)
Lineage: Eukaryota; Viridiplantae; Streptophyta; Magnoliopsida; Brassicales; Brassicaceae
Source: RNAcentral
AAACUAACGUUGGUAAGGAUGGA